CAUGGCGUACUGUCAGUACACGUGGACAACCUACCCUUAGGUCUGGGAUAACCCCGGGAAACUGGGAAUAAUACCGGAUAUAUCGCGAAUGCUGGAAUGCGUCGCGAUAGAAAGCUCCGACGCCUAAGGAUGGGUCUGCGGCCUAUCAGGUAGUAGUGGGUGUAAUGUACCUACUAGCCUACGACGGGUACGGGUUGUGAGAGCAAGAGCCCGGAGAUGGAUUCUGAGACACGAAUCCAGGCCCUACGGGGUGCAGCAGGCGCGAAAACUUUACAAUGCUGGCAACAGCGAUAAGGGAACCUCGAGUGCCAGGAUACACCUGGCUGUCGUGAUGCCUAAAAAGCAUUGCAUACAAGGGCCGGGCAAGACCGGUGCCAGCCGCCGCGGUAACACCGGCGGCUCGAGUGGUAACCGCUAUUAUUGGGUCUAAAGGGUCUGUAGCCGGCUGAAUAAGUCUCUUGGGAAAUCUGGCCGCUUAACGGUCAGGCUUCAGGAGAUACUGUUCGGCUCGAGACCGGGAGAGGUGAGAGGUACCUCAGGGGUAGGGGUGAAAUCUUGUAAUCCCUGAGGGACCACCAGUGGCGAAGGCGUCUCACCAGAACGGAUCUGACGGCAAGGGACGAAAGCUAGGGGCACGAACCGGAUUAGAUACCCGGGUAGUCCUAGCCGUAAACGAUACUCGCUAGGUGUCGGCCACGGUGCGACCGUGGUCGGUGCCGUAGGGAAGCCGUGAAGCGAGCCACCUGGGAAGUACAGCCGCAAGGCUGAACUUAAAGGCUA
Molecule: ribosomal RNA, 780 nt
Filed under: uncultured soil archaeon
Lineage: Archaea
Description: bacterial SSU rRNA
Rfam family: Archaeal small subunit ribosomal RNA
Source: RNAcentral